UUGGAAGCAGAUAUCAAACUCUUCCGGAAGUAUUUCUGGGACAGAGCCUUUCUUGUCAAGGCUCUUGAUCAAGAAGCCAAGACAGAGAGAGCAACCAUGCCUUCUGGAGCUGCGGAAACUGAAGAAGAGGUUAGGAAUCUGGAGUCUGGCAGAUCACCCUCAGAAGAGGAGGAGGAUGGACAGCUCGUCAAAAGCCAGGCCGACGGGCCGAGUGAACAGGAAGACCAGGACCGCCUAGUUUUGG
Molecule: long non-coding RNA, 244 nt
Filed under: Rattus norvegicus (Norway rat)
Lineage: Eukaryota; Metazoa; Chordata; Mammalia; Rodentia; Muridae
Description: long non-coding RNA NONRATT015987
Source: RNAcentral